This 331-nucleotide unclassified non-coding RNA is filed under the name soil metagenome. RNAcentral's name for it is "partial contains 5.8S ribosomal RNA, internal transcribed spacer 2, and large subunit ribosomal RNA". The stretch from base 1 to 120 matches the Rfam family "5.8S ribosomal RNA", at positions 35 to 154 of the family's 154-position model. The record is from RNAcentral.
GAUGAAGAACGUAGUGAAAUGCGAUAAGUAGUGUGAAUUGCAGAAUUCAGUGAAUCAUCGAAUCUUUGAACGCACAUUGCGCCCUUUGGUAUUCCUUAGGGCAUGCCUGUUCGAGCGUCAUUUAAACCUUCAAGCUAAGCUUGGUGUUGGGUGACUGUCCGCUUCACGGCGGACUCGCCUCAAAAUUAUUGGCGGCCGGUACAUUGGCUUCGAGCGCAGCAGAAACGCGAACUCGGGCCCGUCGUAUUGGCUCCCAGAAGCUAUCUUCACAAUUUUGACCUCGGAUCAGGUAGGGAUACCCGCUGAACUUAAGCAUAUCAAUAAGCGGGGA